Salvelinus sp. IW2-2015 is the source of this 335-nucleotide non-coding RNA. The record is from RefSeq and is a predicted model, not a curated record. NCBI's taxonomy places the organism in Eukaryota, Metazoa, Chordata, Actinopteri, Salmoniformes, Salmonidae.
AUGGGGAGGUCUAGGUCACGUCCAGCCCCCCUGCAGCAUGGGGAGGUCUAGGCCACGUCCAGCCCCCCUGCAGCAAGGGGAGGUCUAGGGGAGGUCUAGGCCACAUCCAGCCCCCCUGCAGCAAGGUGAGGUCUAGGGGAGGUCUAGGUCACGUCCAGCCCCCCUGCAGCAUGGGGAGGUCUAGGUCACGUCCAGCCCCCCUGCAGCAAGGGGAGGUCUAGGCCAGAUCCAGCCCCCUGCAGCAAGGGGAGGUCUGGGGAGGUCUAGGUCAGUCCAGCCUCCCUGCAGCAAGGGGAGGUCUAGGCCACAUCCAGCCCCCUGCAGCAAGGAGGGGU